CCCUUAGAUGUUCUGGGCGGCCCGCGCACUACAUUGGCACUGGCAACAAGAUCCUAGAUCUGAUAUUUCGGGGUAUUCUACCAACUGGUGUCGUGACUGGGAUUAACCCCUGCAAUUAUUGGUUAUGAACGAGGAAUUCCUUGUAAUCACGGUUUAUCAACCCGUGUUGAAUGCGUCCCUGCCCUUUGUACACACCGCCCGUCGCUCCUACCGAUGAAUCGUCCGGUGAAGUUCAUGGAGCCGCGGCUGCUCCAGCUGUUUUCGAAGUGAAAUGGACCUCAUGAUUUAGAGGAAGGAGAAGUCGUAACA
This 309-nucleotide ribosomal RNA is filed under the name uncultured eukaryote. Its description in RNAcentral is "partial 18S ribosomal RNA". It matches the Rfam family "Eukaryotic small subunit ribosomal RNA", at positions 1470 to 1796 of the family's 1831-position model. The record is from RNAcentral.